GGGCCUUUAACUCAGCCGGUUAGAGUGCCGCACUCAUAAUGCGAGAGUCGGGGGUUCGAGUCCCUCAAGGCCCA
RNAcentral lists this transfer RNA (74 nucleotides) under Haliscomenobacter sp. RNAcentral's name for it is "tRNA-Ile". It matches the Rfam family "tRNA". From Rfam's summary of the family: Transfer RNA (tRNA) molecules are approximately 80 nucleotides in length. Lineage: Bacteria; Pseudomonadati; Bacteroidota; Saprospiria; Saprospirales; Haliscomenobacteraceae. The record is from RNAcentral.